This 1601-nucleotide long non-coding RNA is filed under the name Danio rerio (zebrafish). Its description in RNAcentral is "lncRNA si:dkey-265j8.1 (ENSDARG00000086963.5)". Lineage: Eukaryota; Metazoa; Chordata; Actinopteri; Cypriniformes; Danionidae. The record is from RNAcentral.
UCUAUUCAUUAUUUAAUUUUGGAGAACGCCAUUUGGAGACCAUCCUUCAUGUUCAGUUGUGGCCUGUAUUUAUUUUUAAUCUAUGUGAGUGUCGUAGAGGUGUCAGAAAGUUUAACCUGGUGCCAUCAAAUCAAUGUGCUGCAUCUGACGCUAUUACUGUGUAUAACUGAAACACCCAAGCAGUCACAUGGCUUUUUAUUUGCAUGUUAUUUUUUUAUGUUUAUUGUUAACAAUGUUACUAUUAUCUACAAUUUUUCCUGUAGGUUGUGGAUAAAACAUGGUAAUUUGAAUAGUUUAGAUUUUUGGAAAUCAUUGUCCCCUGACCCCCACUUUAGGAACCACUGCUUUACAAUAUAGUAUAUCUGUUUCAGACUCUUGAUUUCAAGUGAAUAUUCUCUCCAUCAGUGACAUUACAGAAAGAGGAAACCCAGGGGGAAAUCACCAUAAUUAGUGUCAUAUGCUUGUGUUUAGGAAUACAGUACCAAUAGAAAACUAUGACUAUAAUAGCAAACUAAAAUUUAAGGUGAACUCAAUGACUCAUUUAUGCCUAUUGUAAUGAAUAUGGGGCACAUAUUAAUGCAGCUGAAUAUAAUUGUGUUUCUGAAUUUACAUGGAAGACAGAAUCUAACUCGGUUUCACUUCCUCCUUGAGUAAAGCAUAAAAGUGAGGAUCGAUAGCACAAGUUUCACUGCAAGCACUGAGAGAGAGAAAACCAGACCCCGAAACACCUCUGAUCAACAUCCAGAGACUCCUGUAGGAAAACGAUGCUGUGUGAAGGAAAGCUCUGGAGUCUGGCUUUUGAAGCUGAAGCCGAGUGUGUAAAUCCUCCUUCAUGCACCACAGUCACAGAGCCUUCCUCAACUUCACCAAAUAAUCCCCUCUCAGCUCAAAUCCCCGUCCACUCAGCUCCAGAGGUCCAUGCUAAUAUAACCCAGAUGAAAACCCAGAGCUACCCUCACCCUUCCUCUAUGGCAGGACAUGGUGUGGAUAUCCCCAGGCAUGUGGACACCCCUGAAACAGAAGCAUUUUUGGUGCCUUCGAGCUGCCACAGCAUUUGCCAGCAUUACAGCGAUUUACACAUAGCAGGCGGUCAGGUGUUGCCGCUCAGCCCCCAUGCAGGAGACAUACAGGGCCAUCACAGCCAGGAUCCCCAGCCUGGACCCUUUCUUGUGUCUGAAGAUGUUCCCUCACCCUCCCUCUUACCUCCUCUGGUCCACGAGUUCAGGAGCUCGAGGCGAUGGAAGGAAGAAAGCGGGCGUGAGCGUCCCUCUCUCCUGCAGUUCAGCCGGCCGCUCUCCAACUCUCAACUUAACGGCUAUCUUGAGCAGAAGCUUCUGGAGCUGUACAGACAGUACCUGACUGAGGGACCGGCUGUUAGCAGGCCCGUCAUGGCCUCUGAGCUUCUGCAGACCAGCCUGGACCAGAUGACCCUCCAGCUGAGCCGAGAGCAGAACAUGGAGACGGCAAGGGCAAAAGACAUGCUGCUCAGCUGCCUGCUCAGAGUCACCAGCACAUACCAGUCCAGCGAGAUCAGCACUCCUCUACUGCAGAUCUCCACUGAGACGCAAUGAGCUAGACAGAUAAAAGGAGAAGACUGACUG